RNAcentral lists this ribosomal RNA (1093 nucleotides) under Percocypris sp. MW-2013a. RNAcentral's name for it is "partial 16S ribosomal RNA". It matches the Rfam family "Bacterial large subunit ribosomal RNA", at positions 198 to 2063 of the family's 2925-position model. Lineage: Eukaryota; Metazoa; Chordata; Actinopteri; Cypriniformes; Cyprinidae. The record is from RNAcentral.
CCACCUAAUAAUUAAAUAAUAUAAAUAAAAUAAAAUAAGCCUAAAACCAAAAACUAAACCAUUCUUUUACCUGAGUACGGGAGACAGAAAAGGUCCUACCAAAGCAAUAGAAAUAGUACCGCAAGGGAAAGCUGAAAGAGAAAUGAAAUAACCCAUAUAAGCACUAAAAAGCAAAGAUUAAAUCUUGUACCUUUUGCAUCAUGAUUUAGCCAGUACACCCAAGCAAAGAGACCUUUAGUUUGAAACCCCGAAACCAAGUGAGCUACCCCGAGACAGCCUAUCAAGGGCCAACCCGUCUCUGUGGCAAAAGAGUGGGAAGAACUCCGGGUAGAAGUGACAGACCUACCGAACCUGGUGAUAGCUGGUUGCCUAAGAAGUGAAUAGAAGUUCAGCCUCGUGUUCCCCAAAUCAGAAAGAAAUAAGACCAAGAGAAAUGCACGAGAGUUAGUUAAAGGGGGUACAGCCCCUUUAACAAAGGACACAACCUUUACAGGAGGAUAAAGAUCAUAAUAUAUAAAAUAUACUGUUCUAGUGGGCCUAAAAGCAGCCACCUAAACAGAAAGCGUUAAAGCUCAGACAGAAAGAGGUUUAUUAUUCUGACAAAAAAUCUUACUCCCCUGAGUACUAUUAGGCCAACCCAUGCCUACAUGGAAGAGACUAUGCUAAAAUGAGUAACAAGAAGGCUUGCCCUUCUCCCAGCACAAGUGUAAGCCAAAUCGGACCCACCAUCGGCAAUUAACGAACUCAACCCAAGAGAGCAAUGUGGAUUACAAAAAGGCCAAGAAAAACCCACAACUAAAUUAUCGUUACCCCCACACUGGAGUGCCAUUUAAAGGAAAGACUAAAAGAAAAGGAAGGAACUCGGCAAACACAAGCCUCGCCUGUUUACCAAAAACAUCGCCUCCUGCAACCCAACUAAGUAUAGGAGGUCCAGCCUGCCCAGUGACCACAAGUUCAACGGCCGCGGUAUUUUGACCGUGCAAAGGUAGCGCAAUCACUUGUCUUUUAAAUAGAGACCUGUAUGAACGGCUAAACGAGGGCUUAACUGUCUUCCCUUUCAAGUCAGUGAAAUUGAUCUGCCCGUGCAGAAGCG